This 370-nucleotide ribosomal RNA is filed under the name Bachelotia antillarum. RNAcentral describes it as "SSU rRNA". It matches the Rfam family "Eukaryotic small subunit ribosomal RNA". Lineage: Eukaryota; Phaeophyceae. The record is from RNAcentral.
UGCCCUUAGAUGUCCUGGGGCGCACGCGCGCUACACUGAUGCAUGCAACGAGUUCUUCUUYUCCCUGGGUCGAGAGGCCCGSGUAAUCUGUUGAACGUGCAUCGUGAUAGGGAUAGAUCAUUGCAAUUAUUGAUCUUGAACGAGGAAUUCCUAGUAAACGCGAGUCAUCAGCUCGCAUUGAUUACGUCCCUGCCCUUUGUACACACCGCCCGUCGCACCUACCGAUUGAAUGUUUCGGUGAAGAUUCCGGACCGUGGCUCGCGCGCUUCACGGCGCUCCUGCCGUGGGAAGUUGUCUAAACCUCAACAUUUAGAGGAAGGUGAAGUCGUAACAAGGUUUCCGUAGGUGAACCUGCGGAAGGAUCAUUACC